ACGACCUUACUUGAACAGGAUCUGUUCUAUAGGCUCGUACCUCUGUAUCCUUUAGCACAAAGGAGACAGGAUCUCAAGUCUGGUUGAUGAACCACGACCUUGUUACCAGAGCGUGAUUAACAGCUUCCUUGGUCCCUCGGGUCCAGCCGAAGCAGUAGAGGAUCGUUCUCAGCUUGGUGUUCAUCUGGCCGGGAUGGUCACAAGGUUGUCUGACAGACA
RNAcentral lists this small nucleolar RNA (219 nucleotides) under Corchorus capsularis. RNAcentral describes it as "snoRNA Plant_U3". It matches the Rfam family "Plant small nucleolar RNA U3". From Rfam's summary of the family: Small nucleolar RNAs (snoRNAs) are involved in the processing and modification of rRNA in the nucleolus. There are two main classes of snoRNAs: the box C/D class, and the box H/ACA class. Lineage: Eukaryota; Viridiplantae; Streptophyta; Magnoliopsida; Malvales; Malvaceae. The record is from Rfam by way of RNAcentral.